CGGUAAUACGGAGGGGGACAAGCGUUAUUCGGAAUCACUGGGCGUAAAGGACGCGUAGGCGGGUUAUUAAGUCGGGUGUGAAAUCCAAUGGCUCAACCAUUGAACUGCAUUCGAAACUGAUAACCUAGAGUAUGGAAGGGGCAGGUGGAAUUAGUGGUGUAGGGGUAAAAUCCGUAGAUAUCACUAGGAAUACCGAAAGCGAAGGCGACCUGCUGGGACAUUACUGACGCUGAGGCGUGAAAGCGUGGGGAGCAAACAGGAUUAGAUACCCUGGUAGUCCACGCCCUAAACGAUGAAUGCUAGUCGUCGGGGAGCUCGUCUCUUCGGUGAUGCACUUAACAGAUUAAGCAUUCCGCCUGGGGAGUACGGCCGCAAGAUUAAAACUCAAAGGAAUAGACGGGGACCCGCACAAGUGGUGGAGCAUGUGGUUUAAUUCGAAGAUACGCGAAGAACCUUACCUAGCCUUGACAUUGAUUGAAUUUUCCAGAGAUGGAGAAGUGCCUUUCGGGGAACAUGAAAACAGGUGCUGCACGGCUGUCGUCAGCUCGUGUCGUGAGAUGUUGGGUUAAGUCCCGCAACGAGCGCAACCCUCGUCGUUAGUUGCUAACAGGUUAAGCUGAGCACUCUAGCGAGACUGCCUUCGCAAGGAGGAGGAAGGUGAGGACGACGUCAAGUCAUCAUGGCCCUUAUGGCUAGGGCUACACACGUGCUACAAUGGGGCGUACAGAGAGUUGCGAUACCGCGAGGUGGAGCCAAUCUCAUAAAGCGUCUCUCAGUUCGGAUUGUUCUCUGCAACUCGAGAACAUGAAGCUGGAAUCACUAGUAAUCGUAGAUCAGCAACGCUACGGUGAAUACGUUCCCGGGUCUUGCACACACCGCCCGUC
This 884-nucleotide ribosomal RNA is filed under the name uncultured Campylobacterota bacterium. RNAcentral's name for it is "bacterial SSU rRNA". It matches the Rfam family "Bacterial small subunit ribosomal RNA", at positions 518 to 1398 of the family's 1533-position model. The record is from RNAcentral. Lineage: Bacteria; Pseudomonadati; Campylobacterota.